Molecule: non-coding RNA, 4226 nt
Organism: Manis javanica (Malayan pangolin)
Lineage: Eukaryota; Metazoa; Chordata; Mammalia; Pholidota; Manidae
Source: RefSeq, a predicted model, not a curated record
CAUUUGUCCAUUCUUUUGUGGAACUUUCUAUUUCCUUGGAAUCCUCCACAUUUGUCCAUUCUUUUGUGGAACUUCCUAUUUCCAUUUUCUUAAGCCACAUUUUUGGAAAUUUUGUCACAGGAAAUUUUACUUGUUGGCUCCGUGUCUCCACUCUUGUAGCAACAGAAGUUGUUACUGAUACUGAGCUUUCUUACUUCAACCCUGCUUUAUUAUCUAUCUAAGCAGCAGACAGACAGGAAAAAGUGUCAUUCUUCUAAAACAGACAAAUAAGAACCACACAGGUGGAAGAGAGGAUAAGAAGGCUGAAAAUAAGCUAAAUAUGAUCAGUGUAACGUGAACCUAAUGGAAAAGCCAACAUUUUGAAAUACCAGUCUAAUCUUGCCCAUUUUCCCUGUCCUGUUCCAAUGCAACAGGUGAUCAAGAACCACAUCUUCAAACUCUUCCAGAACAAGUUGGAAGAUAAACUCAGAAAGUUUAUCAAUUUAUCAAGAUGAAAUUUUUUUUAAAUUUUAGAAUGAACUCCAACAUGCAAGGAACUUGAAAGUCAUCACACCAUCCUCACAAAAAAAAGACAAAAUCACAAAAUCAUUAACUUUUUUCAUAGAUCCAUCUGAGAACCGAGGUCACAGGGCAAGAAUCCAUCAGAAUUUGGAGAGACAGGCAAAUACAAAGAGAACCAAGAUCAGAGUCCUUAAAGCAGAAGCCACUGGAGCCAGGAACUGGUGAGCAAGAUCAUUAUUUCACACUCUCAGAAAGAAGACUGGUUUCUGCCAAUCUUUCCUCUGAGCUGAAUCCAAGUCAGCACCUGAAGGAUGAUUUGUGGCUCCAGGCCACUCAGCAACAUGUUGUGGAUCAUAAAGAAAAAUCUGUACCUGUUUUGCCCAGUUCUGUAGUUCUUCUUCAAGCUCUUAGUACAAAAAUAUACUAUGUCUUGGUAGCACAAACUGACUAAUUCAUUCCUUGUGAAGGUCUGAAGAUGUGCAUAUGGCAAAAGACCUCCACCUUCUAUACACUGUAAAUUAAUAGUUAGCAAACUUGAUUAACUGUCAUUCACAUGGUGUCAUGCAAUGAUUGUUGGUCUUUUCUUUAAAAGUGCCUCUUAUUCUAAUUCCUAAAAUACAUCAAUGUGAACAUCACCUAGGGCCAGAAAUUCUAUGUGAUUAAGUAAUUGGUCUCAUGAUAACAGACCACAGAUAUUCUGUCAACCACAACUGAGCCUAACAUAAACUAAUACAUGUACAUAAACACGAUUUUUAACUUCUAUCUGGAAAAAGUAAAAAUGACAGAAGCUACUUAUAUCACAAAACAAAUGCUGUUUUAUAUAAUACAUUUCAAGCUAUCAGAAAUCACUGAGGAAAGGACAAAAAAACAUUUUUAAAAAUUGGGAAAUGUUGUGGGCAGACCAAAGAAUAAGAAAUACAACUGGUUUUAAAACAUAUAAAAGGAUGCCCACACUCAAAUUAAAAGGGAAAUGUAUAUUACUCUUAUACAUAAAAAAACAGAUAAUUUCACAUUGCAAAAUGGAAAUGAGGCACAGUCACGGACUGUUUUGGAGGAUUUAGACUGACAUAGAUCACUUAACCUAGAACACUUUUGAGAGUGAAACAGACACUAUUUAAAUCAAUAUUCAUAAUCUACAGUUCUGGGUAACUGCAGUCAUGCAAUUUAUGGAAUUGUAACACUUUCACCAUGCUAUAGUCGUGUGUCUGUCUUUCUAAAUGGGCAGGAAACACAUUGGUGGAAAGUAUCAUAAAAGUUUUUCCAUGAAAGUAUCAUGUAAUUUUUUCCUAAAUGUUUAGUACUUUGCAUAGAAUAUAUGCUUAAAUAUUUUUAAAUGAAUUAAAAUGGCUUAAUUAAUUCACUAGUGCCUAAAGGGACUGAGGCAUGGAGCAUAUCAAACUCACCAACUAUACUAGGAGAAGCCAAUGAUGAGAAGUGCCUAGACAAGAGGUGGAGUAGAGAUUACGAUACACAAAAUUUUCUGUCUUUGAGGCACCUCACAAAUUGAGGGAGAGAAAAGAACGUAAUUUUCUCAGGUUGAACUUCAGCUGUAGAUGUAUAGAAAAGAAAGGGCCAAUCUACAUAGUUCAAUAAGUUAAGUGUAGGUGUCUGGAAAUGUUCAAAACCUGAACAUCACAUAGUUGAGACUCAUCCUCUCAAAUUUGGAAUAAAUUUGCAACUUGGAAUAAACCAGUGUGGUAGGCAGAAUAAUGACUUCCCUGACCAUGUUUGUAUUCCUAAUCCUUGGAAGUUUGAAUAUUUAUAUUACUUGGGAAAAGAGAAUUAAAGUUGAGGGUGGAAUUAAGUUUCCUAAUCAGUUUACCUAAAAUAGGGAGAUUAUCCUGGAAUACCUGGAUGGUUUCAGUAUAAUCACAAGGGUCCCUAAAAGAUGAAAGAGAAAGACAGAAGAAUCACUGUCCAAGUGGUUAAUAUGAGAAAGACUAGAGCAGCCACUGUUGGCUUUGAUGAUGGGAAGGAGUCACAAGCCAAUGAAGGCCCUUUCUAGAAACUGGAAAAGGCAAGAAAACAUUCUGCCUUAGGCCCUCCAAUGAGGAAUGCAGCCACGUCAACACUUUGAUUUUAGCCCAGUGAGACCCAUUUCAGACUUCUGACCUACAGAAAUCGAAAAUCAAAAAAGAAACAUGGUGCCUUUCCUCAGUCAAAUGUCUUAAUGCAAAACGAGUACGAGCCUCUAGAUCUCCAGAGAGCAGUCUAAGGGCCCAGGUGGGUAGGAAGCUGGGUGCCAGCCACAAGAAACACAGAGAUUCUGUCCCACUUUCCAGCUGGACCUUGGUGUGUGUCUGGGAAGACCUUCUCUUACUCUGGCAAUGACACAGGUCCCUCAGGUCAUUGACAUUAAGUAUAAGGGAAGAACAGAUCAGGUGUAUGGAACAAAUAAUCAGGAAACUUGACCCCAUGCUCUCCUACACCAUUUCUGCUGCAGCUUUUGUCACAUCUCUGUCUGGAAUGAAACCUCUCCUGCUCUCUCUCCACUCCAUGUAGAACAGCUUUUAAUUUCUUAGCUGAGACCUUAGCUACCUCUUCCACGUUGCUUUUUUGAACCCUCACAGGAAGGAUUGACAACCUGUUCUUUUUAGGUCCCCUCCGAAAGUGGUAGAUUUCUCACAUAGUAUCAAUAACAAGCUGCUGCUCUUACAUGGUAAACACAAAUCUCAUUUUCUCAAUGAUGUGUGCAAGAGAUGUCAAGCUCUUUAUCUUCUGUCAAUUUGUCAUUUUAAAUAAAUCCAUUUGUUUUGUUAUGCACAGUUCCAGAAUUUCUACCUUUUAAACAAUUCUGUUAUGUCUAUGUCUUUGUAUUGCUAAAACUGUAUGUCUAAAACUGAGUCUGAUAUUAUCUGGAUUCCUAUGGAUCUGUUUUUAUUGUCUGUAUUUCCUUUGGAUCUUAUCAUGUGGUGUUUAUCAUGUGGUGUUAGCUCCUUGUGUGUCUGGGAAUACUUUUAAUUUCUCUUUGAGUGUCUGACAUUGUACUUGAAAAGUUAGAAAAAAAUUGAGACUUCCUCUUUACUUUCAUUCUGAUAAAUUACUGAAUAGCCUUAAUCCUAUUAUAAGGAUUGAGAGUAAAUUGAAUGUGAUUCUCAGUACUUUCAACAGUCAGUUUCAUUAUAGGUCAAAUUUAUUCAUACAGUUUAACCCCUCGGAGUUCCAAACCAAACACUGAGGGUGUCUAGCAGGACUGCACCUUCUUUACAAAAUACGGAUUUUAAGUUUUGUCUUUCUACACCCAUGAGUAAUGCAGAAAGAUCUGCUCAGCUUCCCAAUCUCUCAGAAUGAGCUCAGAAUGAGCAGACACCUUUAGAGAAAAAACAGCAAAUUCUAGAGUUUACUACUGGUUUUCUUCUUUGCCUGGACAUUGGCUCUACAAUUUGUCAACAAUAUGUUGAAGCCUUCAGGUGGAUUUUACAACUAUUAUGGAGUGGGUGUGGGGGGCGAGUGAGGGGGCUAAAAAGACACAGAAAUCUCAUAAGCUGGCCACAGAAAUGGAAGUGCAGCAUGGAGGAUAUAGUCGAUGGUUCUGUAACAUCUUUCUAUGUUGACAGAUAGUAACUAUACUAGUUGGGGGUUUAAUAAUGUGUGUAACUGGCAAAUAACUGUAUUGUAUAGUUAAAACCAGUAUGGAAUUGUGUAUCAACUACACUUCAAUUAGAAAAUAAAUUAAAGAUAAAUAAAAAUAAAAAAAUACAAAAAUGAAAUCCUAAUAGCCAAUA